Molecule: ribosomal RNA, 497 nt
Filed under: uncultured bacterium
Lineage: Bacteria
Description: partial 16S ribosomal RNA
Rfam family: Bacterial small subunit ribosomal RNA
Source: RNAcentral
GAUGAACGCUGGCGGCGUGCCUAAUACAUGCAAGUCGAGCGAACGGACGAGAAGCUUGCUUCUCUGAUGUUGGCGGCGGACGGGUGAGUAACACGUGGAUAACCUACCUAUAAGACUGGGAUAACUUCGGGAAACCGGAGCUAAUACCGGAUAAUAUUUUGAACCGCAUGGUUCAAAAGUGAAAGACGGUCUUGCUGUUACUUAUAGAUGGAUCCGCGCUGCAUUAGCUAGUUGGUAAGGUAACGGCUUACCAAGGCAACGAUGCAUAGCCGACCUGAGAGGGUGAUCGGCCACACUGGAACUGAGACACGGUCCAGACUCCUACGGGAGGCAGCAGUAGGGAAUCUUCCGCAAUGGGCGAAAGCCUGACGGAGCAACGCCGCGUGAGUGAUGAAGGUCUUCGGAUCGUAAAACUCUGUUAUUAGGGAAGAACAUAUGUGUAAGUAACUGUGCACAUCUUGACGGUACCUAAUCAGAAAGCCACGGCUAACUACGUG